RNAcentral lists this ribosomal RNA (245 nucleotides) under uncultured bacterium. Its description in RNAcentral is "partial 16S ribosomal RNA". It matches the Rfam family "Bacterial small subunit ribosomal RNA", at positions 524 to 768 of the family's 1533-position model. The record is from RNAcentral.
UACGGGGGGUGCAAGCGUUGUUCGGAAUUAUUGGGCGUAAAGAGCGUGUAGGCGGCUUGAUAAGUCAGAUGUGAAAGCCCUGGGCUUAACCCAGGAAGUGCAUUUGAAACUGUCUUGCUCGAGUAAGGAAGGGGGAAGUGGAAUUCCUGGUGUAGAGGUGGAAUUCGUAGAUAUCAGGAGGAACACCGGUGGCGAAGGCGACUUCCUGGUCCUAUACUGACGCUGAGACGCGAGAGCGUGGGUAG